This 492-nucleotide ribosomal RNA is filed under the name uncultured bacterium. Its description in RNAcentral is "partial 16S ribosomal RNA". It matches the Rfam family "Bacterial small subunit ribosomal RNA", at positions 29 to 507 of the family's 1533-position model. The record is from RNAcentral.
AGUGAACGCUGGCGGUAGGCCUAACACAUGCAAGUCGAACGGCAGCACAGUAAGGGCUUGCUCUUACGGGUGGCGAGUGGCGGACGGGUGAGGGAUACAUCGGAAUCUACUUUUUCGUGGGGGAUAACGUAGGGAAACUUACGCUAAUACCGCAUACGACCUACGGGUGAAAGCAGGGGAUCUUCGGACCUUGCGCGAUUGAAUGAGCCGAUGUCGGAUUAGCUAGUUGGCGGGGUAAAGGCCCACCAAGGCGACGAUCCGUAGCUGGUCUGAGAGGAUGAUCAGCCACACUGGAACUGAGACACGGUCCAGACUCCUACGGGAGGCAGCAGUGGGGAAUAUUGGACAAUGGGCGCAAGCCUGAUCCAGCCAUACCGCGUGGGUGAAGAAGGCCUUCGGGUUGUAAAGCCCUUUUGUUGGGAAAGAAAAGCAGCAGGUUAAUACCCCGCUGUUCUGACGGUACCCAAAGAAUAAGCACCGGCUAACUUCGUG